This 453-nucleotide ribosomal RNA is filed under the name uncultured organism. RNAcentral describes it as "partial 16S ribosomal RNA". It matches the Rfam family "Bacterial small subunit ribosomal RNA", at positions 330 to 799 of the family's 1533-position model. The record is from RNAcentral.
ACGUACCUCCUGCGGGAGGCAGCAGUGGGGAAUAUUGGACAAUGGGCGCAAGCCUGAUCCAGCCAUGCCGCGUGAGUGAUGAAGGCCCUAGGGUUGUAAAGCUCUUUCACCGGUGAAGAUAAUGACGGUAACCGGAGAAGAAGCCCCGGCUAACUUCGUGCCAGCAGCCGCGGUAAUACGAAGGGGGCUAGCGUUGUUCGGAUUUACUGGGCGUAAAGCGCACGUAGGCGGACUAUUAAGUCAGGGGUGAAAUCCCGGGGCUCAACCCCGGAACUGCCUUUGAUACUGGUAGUCUUGAGUUCGAGAGAGGUGAGUGGAAUUCCGAGUGUAGAGGUGAAAUUCGUAGAUAUUCGGAGGAACACCAGUGGCGAAGGCGGCUCACUGGCUCGAUACUGACGCUGAGGUGCGAAAGCGUGGGGAGCAAACAGGAUUAGAUACCCCAGUAGUCCCAUG